GGGCAGGUGGCGAAAUGGUAUACGCGCUAGGUUUAGGACCUAGUGUCGCAAGACGUGGAGGUUCGAGUCCUCUCCUGCCCA
RNAcentral lists this transfer RNA (81 nucleotides) under Candidatus Colwellbacteria bacterium GWA2_46_10. RNAcentral describes it as "tRNA-Leu". It matches the Rfam family "tRNA". Rfam says of the family: Transfer RNA (tRNA) molecules are approximately 80 nucleotides in length. Lineage: Bacteria; Candidatus Colwelliibacteriota. The record is from RNAcentral.